GGAAUAUUGGACAAUGGGCGCAAGCCUGAUCCAGCCAUCCCGCGUGCAGGAUGACGGCCCUAUGGGUUGUAAACUGCUUUUAUCAGGGAAGAAACCCCUCGUUUUUCGGGGGCUGACGGUACCUGAAGAAUAAGCACCGGCUAACUCCGUGCCAGCAGCCGCGGUAAUACGGAGGGUGCAAGCGUUAUCCGGAAUCACUGGGUUUAAAGGGUGCGUAGGCGGCGGCGUAAGUCAGAAGUGAAAGUUUGCAGCUUAACUGUAAAAUUGCUUUUGAUACUGCGUUGCUUGAAUUAGGUUGAGGUCGGCGGAAUGUGACAUGUAGCGGUGAAAUGCAUAGAUAUGUCAUAGAACACCAAUUGCGAAGGCAGCUGACUGGACCUAUAUUGACGCUGAGGCACGAAAGCGUGGGGAGCGAAC
RNAcentral lists this ribosomal RNA (417 nucleotides) under uncultured bacterium. Its description in RNAcentral is "bacterial SSU rRNA". It matches the Rfam family "Bacterial small subunit ribosomal RNA", at positions 358 to 773 of the family's 1533-position model. The record is from RNAcentral.